Molecule: ribosomal RNA, 497 nt
Filed under: uncultured bacterium
Lineage: Bacteria
Description: partial 16S ribosomal RNA
Rfam family: Bacterial small subunit ribosomal RNA
Source: RNAcentral
GAUGAACGCUGGCGGCGUGCCUAAUACAUGCAAGUCGAGCGAACAGACGAGGAGCAUGCUCCUCUGACGUUAGCGGCGGACGGGUGAGUAACACGUGGAUAACCUACCUAUAAGACUGGGAUAACUUCGGGAAACCGGAGCUAAUACCGGAUAAUAUAUUGAACCGCAUGGUUCAAUAGUGAAAGACGGUUUUGCUGUCACUUAUAGAUGGAUCCGCGCCGCAUUAGCUAGUUGGUAAGGUAACGGCUUACCAAGGCAACGAUGCGUAGCCGACCUGAGAGGGUGAUCGGCCACACUGGAACUGAGACACGCUCCAGACUCCUACGGGAGGCAGCAGUAGGGAAUCUUCCGCAGUGGGCGAAAGCCUGACGGAGCAACACCGCGUGAGUGAUGAAGGUCUUCGGAUCGUAAAACUCUGUUAUUAGGGAAGAACAAAUGUGUAAGUAACUAUGCACGUCUUGACGGUACCUAAUCAGAAAGCCACGGCUAACUACGUG